ACUGCACAACCGCAGCAACCGUUGUAGUGGUCCUUGUGGCUGGGUGCGAAUCCAGCGUCGCCUAGAUCAUUCUUGAGACUUCGCACCCAUCGACUUUUCUUUCGAUGGUUCGCCUCUGACUGAAGCUCGUUGUGGACUACGUCUUCACCGCUGCCUCGCUGCUUGCUCUCCAUGUUGCGCUACAUCAUCGACGCCGUCAGGUUCCGAUCUAGUUGGUGCUGCUGCUAAUCCCAUUUCUUUGGAGUGAUUGGGACUCCCCUCCUUCCUCUCCCCAACCCACACGCGCAGCUACCGGAGUCGAGCAGCUGUGCCAGUGCUAGCGUAGGUACUGCUCUUGUCUUCUUUCUUUCCUGCAUCGCUCUGCUCCCCCUCUUGCGGCUGUCGCUCUGCGUGCGUGUCAUACACACACACACAUACACAGCUCAAACGACUGCCGCCCCUCUUUUCCCUUUUUUUCCUUGUGUAUUUCCUCUAUCUCACGCGCGUGAUGCUGUGGCCCCCAACCACCCUCGCCUCUCGGACGGGGCCAGAACCACCUCCGGAGUUGGUGCACCGCGCCCUCGGGGCGUGUCGCGUCGUGCUUCACGAGGUCUGCCGCCGCGUUGAAUCAACAGUGGCAAACGCCGCCGCGAAGGCAGAGCUGCGGCACGGAGUGAAGGCUGCCGAGUCAGCGGUGGCCAGGUCCGAGCGCCUCUUCGCCGUGCCGCCGCACCGCAAAGGCUCUAGCACCAGCGGUGCUUCCGCCGGCGCGCCACCGCUCUCGAAUCUCGAGACCCAGGACCACGCCGGCAGCGGCGUGUCUUCCGUUUCUGCCGCGCCCCAUCACGCCAAGUGCGCUCGGUCCACACAGCACACACAAAAGUCCCACGACGCGGCUGGCAGGAGAGAGAGCAUGCCUGGCGCCACAGUCGGCGCAUCCGGGGGUACUUCGGCCUCUGCGCCGCCGCACCCCACAAAGGAAGUGAUCGUGAAGCGACGGAAGACCACGGUUGCACUGUCGCCAACCAACGCCGUCGGCUCGACAGCGUUGCAGAGCAGCACCGGCGCAGAGACAGACGACGCGAGCAGGGCGGAGCAGCACUUAUCGAACUCGUCUCUCAGCGGCGGGGCGACACCCAGUGCGAUGCGGCCUGCUCGCACCGUGAUGUACACCACCGACAGACUCCCAUUCUGCACCGCAUUGCAGAGUGCCGUCGUCUGGGGCUACGUGCUCAGCGCCAUCUUCUGGAAGCGGCGGAAGCUGACGGAGUACACCAUAACCGCCUUGGAGUUGCUGCUGCGCGUCAUGCCGGUGCCCUCAGAUAUUGUCACUCUCAUUGUGGACCCAGCGGCGCUGAGUUACGAGGGAGUUGCUGGAGAGGAUGGCGCGUUCAAAGGGCGCCGCGCGCCGCGCCGGUCGGGCCACAUGCUUGUUUCCGUUGCCAUGGGCGUGUAUUGCGCACUGUCGGAGUGUAUAAUGCAGAGCUUUUCAGAGCCGGCGGUGCAGACGCGCGCGUUGCGUUUGGUUACUGAGUUGAUCACCAGCAGCCUUGUGCCACCGCGCAGGAGCGAAGCAGAAGCGUGCUGUGCAGGCCGCGAAGGAGAGACGAAUAGUUUCAUUGCGCGUCGCUCCGACAAUGGCACCGUCGACGUGACCGCGUGCUUCCAUGGGGACACUGCGUUUCGAGUCAUUGAGUCCUGCCUCAAAGUCGCAGCGAGGGGGAUGCAGGAAACUGCACGGCGCGAGGCUCUCCUGGCGCUCCGGGCGGCCGUGCAGCGCGUCGUGCACACCUUCGUCACAAUGCGGACGUACGAUGAGGUAGUCGGCGGCACCGACGGCCGCGCUCAGGCACACUCGGCCUUCUCAACGGAUACCGUCCUCGCCGACUACACAACGGAUGUCGAUAACAACGAGCCCUACACCUGGAUCCACGUCGUGCUAUCGGACAAGGCCGAGGUGCCGCUGCCGGCCCCACGGUGCACCGGUUUCUCACCGCUUGAGCCGGCUGCCACUGCAGCGGCGCCCCGCUCUGGCGGCGAACCCGGCGGCAACCCCGCCACGCAGCCGCCGCAGUACAGAGAAGGGCGCUCCGAGCUCGUCAGCGCGCCGGCCGUAGGAACAUCGCCGCAGAUCAUGAAGCAUGCACUGCGCACAGGUGACGCAAGCAGCAGCGCUAGCGAACAGGUCUCGAACGCGCCGGCUCCAUCACCAAAGCGCCCGGUGUUCCGUGAGGCCCGAUGGCCGUCCGCGCAGCGCGGACACGCGGUGCCUCGCCGCAACGAAGGCAGUUCACACGUGGCGCACACUUUGGCGCGAUCACAGCCGUCUGCCACUGCAGCCGCCAGCGCCGCCGCGGCGACCCGGCUCGACGUCAAUCCAUCGCCUUCCUCGGUGAACCUCUCCUUUGACCCACAUACGUUCUUCCGCAAUAGCGUCGAUGAGUCUCUCGUGCUGGAUGCAUUGUCGACGCUGAGCACCUCUGACGGCGCCCUUCCAAGCCCUCUGAAGGACCUGCUGAUAGUGCUGCGCCGCAUGUGCCGGUAUGCAUCACGCCCGUGCAGCGGCACGCCAACCAACGCGAACAGGGACGUGCGAGAGCGCGAUGUGGGGUUGUGGGCUCUCGAGUGUGUGCUGGACGGGCUUCCCGUGGCGAACUGCGAGCGGGAGCACCGCUGUGCCACGUGGUUGUCCCUUGUGUUAAACGCUUGCAAAUACGAGCUGCUGGGGUGCAUCGCCAAGAACCUGGCCAUGGCGACCCCGUUCACGCUUUUCGAGCGAGCUGUGCACCUGCUGGGGAUGCUGCUGCGCAAGUUGCACUAUCACAUGGCGCGCGAACUGCACACGUUGCUUGGCGCCUUUCUUCUCCCGCUGAUGGUCUCGCAGUACGCCGGGUUCCGUCAGAAGCACGCGGUGCUGUCCAUGAUACGGCAGCUCUUCACCGUGCCGCACCUGUGCGUCUCGUUCUUCGUAAACUACGACUGCAACCCUGCCUUCGACCCUGGCGCCGAGUACGGCGGCAUGUUGGAGCUGCUUGUGGAGCACGUGGUGGAGAUGACCUUCCUCGAUCACGUUGACGGCAACGGCGACGCCUACCCGUGGCUCUCGUCGGAUCAGCAGCAACUGCUCCGCAGCGAGUGCGUGGUGGUCAUUCACACACUGAUGACCUCACUGUACAGGUGGAUCGCCGAGGACCCGCGGGAUUAUGCAGCGAGCCUGCAGCGCGAUCACCAGAAGGGCGCGCAACAGGGGCAGCAACAAGAGGGCGGCGGCACGAUCGGCGCAACCGAAUCGACUGAGCUGUGCCUGGACAGCUGGGAAUCAGACGAGGUAGUCGACCCGAACCCUCUGCUCACAGGUAGCCACUCUGCGACGGCGGCUGCGAGCCGCAAGGAGGACCACAAAGGGAGCAGCAACUCCGGCGAGAGCGAGGUCCACGGCCGCGACGUGGCACUUCCCCUCGACGCUGUCUCUGGGAAGGCCCUCUCUCACUGGAGGAAGAACAGCAACGUCAACUACCAUUGGAAACACAUCCACUACCUCCUGCAUAACAAGCGCAUCGUCCAGGAAGCUGUGCAGAGCAUUAACUCGGGCCACUGGAGGGAGGCAAAGGAGUUCCUGGAGAGUCGCGGCUUCAUGGCAGCAGUGGCGCCUAGCGAGACGGAGCGGGCUGACCCGUCAAGCGUCGCCCCUGGUACGUCGAGCUACGCCCUUUUUGCUCGAUUCCUCUUCGAGUACCCGGGCAUCUCUCGCGGAGCGCUCUGCUCGAUCUUCGAAAAGGUAAACCAAAAGGAUGGCGUUUCGCGCAUGCUGCUGCAGGAGUACCUUCACUGCUUCAACUACACAGACAUACCUAUUGAUGUGGCGAUGCGUGACACAACGUGCAAGUUCAUGUCCUGGGAUCGACCAAUGUUCGAGGCGAAGGUGUGGGAGACGAUUCAGCAGUGCUUCGGCAACGAGUAUGCGAAGCAGAACCCCGGCUCCAUCACAGCCCGCGACGCCGACGUCAUGGCGGGCGUGCUGCUCUUCCUUCACUCGAAUUUGCACAACUGUUUGGUGAAGAGCAGCCGAAUGCAGGCUUCGCAGUUCGUGCGUGACGCGAAUGCCUGUCUCGAGUUUCCCAUGAUGGAGGAAGACCUCCAAGCCAUGUUCAAUCGCGUUUUGAACUGCAAGUGGGAGCUGGACAUGUAUGACCGCACCCCGCAGCAGGCAGAGAAGGAGCGGACGCUGGUGCGACUGUCGACCAAGAUCCAGAUGGAGCAGGCAGCGCAGCAGAGGCGGCAGAGCGUCGCCAGAAACAACAGCUCCAUCGUGAACUCUGAAACGACGGCGGUGCCGGCCUCUGCCGCUGCUGCUGGUAGUGGUGCAGUUGCCACCGCGUCGGUGGCGGAGACUCACGCGACGACGUGCAAGGGUUACCUAAUGUUUGGCACCGAUCCGGCGGCUCUGGAGGAUGUGCUGCAGGGCGCGGACGAGAGCGACGGUAUCUCGGGCCACAGUCCCUCUCGUGCGCCCGGGACAGCAGCUACGACGGCGACUCCAAAGGCGGAGAUUGCACAGAACCCGAACGCGUCCAUGGACAGCAGCACGCUACAGGUCUGGAUGAGCGACGAUAUGGGGCUGCUGGACAACACGAUCCCCACCUACGCUGACAACAAGGACACCCUGAAGACAAAGGAGGAGCAGCACCACGCAUUCCGCGAGGUGUCCGCCAUGUACCUGCACAAGCUCGAAUCGGUGCAUCGGCUUUACUGUGUCGAGGAUGAGGCGUAUCGCCCGCAGCCUUACAUUAUGCCCUGCUACGCCGAACACGUGCGGCAAAUGCUCCUGCUCACGUACCCACAUGUAAUGUCCUGCGUGUACAUGGGCUUCCGUGUUCUCGAGGAGGCACCGAUUGCGCGCAAGCUGUUGGACACCGUCCAAAUCACGUACGACAUUGCCGCCGCGUUUGUGCUGAACCUGCGUGACCUGCGUCCCGUGAUGGAGGAGGCGCUGCAACGGUAUCUGGAUGAUGAGCGGGCGUACCGGCUGCUGCCCUCGUCUCGCGCCACGUUUGUGCCCUUCCUACUGAACGUGCUUUAGGGCGGAGGACCGAGGAGAGGAGGCGCGCAGUGACGAUUUUUCAGAUUGUCGGCGUGAUGUCGGUAUGACCUUCUCUGCGUGCAUGCGCGGGGCUGACCGUCUUCUUCCUGCUCUCUCCUCUGCACCCCCUCCCCCCGCCUCCCCAGGUAGAACAAUCCGCAGCCCGCUGCACCCCGCGCUACCGAGGCCCGGCCCCUCUCUCCAUCCCCUCCCUCGGUGUCUUCCACGCGAACGACCUGAAUCAGCUCACGCUUUUCGUGUCGCCGUCUCCAAGCAUCGGCAUCAGCCAAACGACGAGUACACGCUUGCUUUGUGUGUGUGUAUGUAUCUCCCCACUUGAUGCGAUCCUCCUUUUUUUUUGCUUCUAUUAAUUUCUUGUGUAUUGCAUAUUCCGCUUGCUUCGACCUCGAUCCUUGCGUCGUCUCAGAUAUGUCUCCGUGCGUGUGGUUGUGGAUUCCCAGUGAGAGUGUUGUACAUGAUUGCCCACGAAGUUUGCGCACUCCGUUCCUUGCCUUUCUACUGUUGCUGCGGCUGCCCCCCCCUCCCUCCCCCCGUCGGCUUUGUUCAGCCGGGUGCGCGUGUGUGUGUGCGUGUCUGUCUUUACCUGGUUUGCGUCUCGGACCUUCUCGCUCCCUUUUCCUCACCCCUCUUUCGGCCAG
RNAcentral lists this unclassified non-coding RNA (5718 nucleotides) under Leishmania donovani. Its description in RNAcentral is "gene:LdHU3.32.3660(CDS-product:Guanine_nucleotide _exchange_factor_in_Golgi_transport_N-inal/Sec7_domain_cont aining_protein_putative)". The record is from RNAcentral. Lineage: Eukaryota; Euglenozoa; Kinetoplastea; Trypanosomatida; Trypanosomatidae.